Molecule: ribosomal RNA, 264 nt
Filed under: Alexandrium margalefii
Lineage: Eukaryota; Dinophyceae; Gonyaulacales; Pyrocystaceae
Description: partial Bacterial large subunit ribosomal RNA
Rfam family: Bacterial large subunit ribosomal RNA
Source: RNAcentral
GUGAGGGAAAGGUGAAAAGAACCCCGAACAGGGGAGUGAAACAGAACCUGAAACCAUACGCUUACAAGCGGUCGGAGUCCCGCCAUUGGCGGGAUGACGGCGUGCCUUUUGCAUAAUGAGCCUACGAGUUACUGUUGCCAGCAAGGUUAAGGUCUUAAGGACCGGAGCCGUAGCGAAAGCGAGUCUGAACAGGGCGGUACAGUUGGUAGUAGUAGACGCGAAACCGUGUGAUCUACCCUUGGGCAGGUUGAAGCUGUGGUAACA